AAGCGGGGGAGCCCGGACGACGGGCUGAGAGGAAGCGCGAAGCUUCGACCCUUGAACCUGACGCGGGUAAUGCCGCCGUAGGAAGAU
RNAcentral lists this non-coding RNA (87 nucleotides) under human gut metagenome. RNAcentral describes it as "TPP riboswitch (THI element)". It matches the Rfam family "TPP riboswitch aptamer (THI element)", at positions 10 to 89 of the family's 105-position model. From Rfam's summary of the family: Vitamin B(1) in its active form thiamin pyrophosphate (TPP) is an essential coenzyme that is synthesised by coupling of pyrimidine and thiazole moieties in bacteria. The previously detected thiamin-regulatory element, thi box was extended, resulting in a new, highly conserved RNA secondary structure, the THI element, which is widely distributed in eubacteria and also occurs in some archaea. Analysis of operon structures identified a large number of new candidate thiamin-regulated genes, mostly transporters, in various prokaryotic organisms. The record is from RNAcentral. RNAcentral also lists the same sequence under 1 other name.